Podarcis lilfordi (Lilford's wall lizard) is the source of this 73-nucleotide non-coding RNA. Lineage: Eukaryota; Metazoa; Chordata; Lepidosauria; Squamata; Lacertidae. The record is from the annotation of a GenBank genome assembly.
GCCUGGAUAGCUCGUUGGUUAGAGCGUGGUGCUGAUAACUCCGAGGUUGCAGGUUCGAUCCCUGUAUGAGACA